CGCCCUUCGCAAAGUUUUCUAAUGUAUGAAGGGUCCUGCCUGCCCGGUGACUUUUAGUUAAACGGCCGCGGUAUCUUGACCGUGCAAAGGUAGCAUAAUCAUUUGCCUCUUAAAUGGAGGCUGGUAUGAAUGGCAAGACGGAAUCUGACUGUCUCUUUUCUGGUGUAUUUGAAUUUGAUUUCUUU
This 185-nucleotide ribosomal RNA is filed under the name Nardoa frianti. RNAcentral's name for it is "partial 16S ribosomal RNA". The stretch from base 1 to 155 matches the Rfam family "Bacterial large subunit ribosomal RNA", at positions 1816 to 2022 of the family's 2925-position model. The record is from RNAcentral. Lineage: Eukaryota; Metazoa; Echinodermata; Asteroidea; Valvatida; Ophidiasteridae.